Molecule: long non-coding RNA, 995 nt
Organism: Cylas formicarius (sweet potato weevil)
Lineage: Eukaryota; Metazoa; Arthropoda; Insecta; Coleoptera; Brentidae
Exons: 3
Source: RefSeq, a predicted model, not a curated record
UUUUGCCACCGGAUUGCAAAAAAACUGCUGAAGAUAUUUCCAGGCUCCAGUAUUUUGAUGUGCCCUCAGGUGAAGAGUUGUCAAAGUUAUCGGCAGAGAUCCAGAUUAUCAAGAAUCAGUUCGAGCAAGACGCUGAAAUCCUGCGGGAAGUUGCCAAAAUCUCCGCAAACAUAAGAAGGACAGUAAAUCGGAAAACAAAAUAUGAAAUCACCGAUCAGGGGCCUUUUAUGGUGAUUCUGGAGGGGAUUACAAUUAAGGUGGGGACUCUUCAUCCUAUGAACUUUGGGAAGUUACUUCAAGCGCAGAAAGUUCAAGGUUUGGUCAUUGGAAAAACCAAUGUAAAAGCAAGGGUAGAUGUAGUUUCUGCGCUGGAGAUCAUCCAGUAUUUCAUUGUGAACUGAAAGAACAGUUUUAUAAGAAGAAACCAUGCCCGACAGACCACUUAAAUCAUGAAGGUAAAUGCAGCCUGGGUAAUUGCGAAAUAUCUCCAAAGCCAACUUGCAUCCACUGUAAAGGCUCUCAUCAGGCCACUGAUAGAUCAUGUCCGGAAAUGGACAGACAGAAGAAAAACAAUGAGGCUAUGGCAUGGUACAACCUAUCCUUUUUUGAAGCGGCCAAACUCUUUCCAAGAGGCCCCAAAUCAAUUAGAAUUUCAAAAGAAGAACUCCUUCGCUGGAGAAGAUCCGAAAACUCGACAUUUAGAACUUCUGAGAUUAGUCUCCUUCGCUGGAGAAGAUCCGAAAAUCCUCGACAUUUGGAACUUUAAAGUUUAGUCUCCUUCGCUGGAGAAGAUCUGACAAUCCUCGACAUUUGGAACUUCAAAAAUCAGUCUUCUUCGCCAGAGAAGAUACGAAAAUCCUCGACAUUUAGAACUUCAAAAUUCUGUCUCCUUCCUGGAGAAGAUCCGAGAAUCCUCGACGGAAGUCGGCAAUGGGCGAAUGAUCCUGGUAGUCGUGCCCAACAGCUAUCUGUGAAACGCAUCAUUGAAUUGAAUU